UACGUAGGCAGCAAGCGUUGUUCGGAAUUACUGGGCGUAAAGAGUGUGUAGGCGGUGCUCUAAGUUCGGUGUGAAAUCUCCCGGCUCAACUGGGAGGGUGCGCCGGAAACUGGGGGUGCUGGAGCGCGGGGAGAGGAAAGCGGAAUUCCUGGUGUAGCGGUGAAAUGCGUAGAUAUCAGGAGGAACACCGGCGGUGUAGACGGCUUUCUGGACCGUAGCUGACGCUGAGACACGAAAAGCGUGGGGUAGCAAAACAGG
This 258-nucleotide ribosomal RNA is filed under the name uncultured bacterium. RNAcentral describes it as "partial 16S ribosomal RNA". It matches the Rfam family "Bacterial small subunit ribosomal RNA", at positions 524 to 776 of the family's 1533-position model. The record is from RNAcentral.